CCUACGGGAGGCAGCAGUGGGGAAUAUUGCACAAUGGGCGCAAGCCUGAUGCAGCGACGCCGCGUGAGGGAUGACGGCCUUCGGGUUGUAAACCUCUUUCAGUAGGGAAGAAGCGAAAGUGACGGUACCUGCAGAAGAAGCGCCGGCUAACUACGUGCCAGCAGCCGCGGUAAUACGUAGGGCGCAAGCGUUAUCCGGAAUUAUUGGGCGUAAAGAGCUCGUAGGCGGUUUGUCGCGUCUGCCGUGAAAGUCCGGGGCUCAACUCCGGAUCUGCGGUGGGUACGGGCAGACUAGAGUGAUGUAGGGGAGACUGGAAUUCCUGGUGUAGCGGUGAAAUGCGCAGAUAUCAGGAGGAACACCGAUGGCGAAGGCAGGUCUCUGGGCAUUAACUGACGCUGAGGAGCGAAAGCAUGGGGAGCGAACAGGAUUAGAUACCCUGGUAGUCCAUGCCGUAAACGUUGGGCACUAGGUGUGGGGGACAUUCCACGUUUUCCGCGCCGUAGCUAACGCAUUAAGUGCCCCGCCUGGGGAGUACGGCCGCAAGGCUAAAACGUCAAAGAGUAGUAGACGUGNGAGUCGCGACGACGGACACACGGAGGAGAGG
Molecule: ribosomal RNA, 604 nt
Filed under: uncultured bacterium
Lineage: Bacteria
Description: bacterial SSU rRNA
Rfam family: Bacterial small subunit ribosomal RNA
Source: RNAcentral